CUACGGGGCGCAGCAGUAAGGAAUAUUCCACAAUGGGCGAAAGCCUGAUGGAGCGACACCGCGUGGAGGACGACACCUUUCGGGGCGUAAACUCCUUUUCUGAGUGAAUAAGUUCUGAAAUUAACUCAGGAAUAAGUGACGGCUAACUACGUGCCAGCAGCCGCGGUAAUACGUAGGUCGCGAGCGUUAACCGGAAUUAUUGGGCGUAAAGGGUCCGUAGCCGGAAAAGAAAGUCUGAUGUUAAAACACGGUGCUCAACACCGUGAUCGUAUUAGAAACUUCUUAUCUAGAGUUAUUCAGAGGUGCGUGGAAUUUCUUGUGUAGGGGUAAAAUCCGUAGAUACAAGAAGGAACACCAAAAGCGAAGGCAGCGCACUGGGGAUAUACUGACGGUCAGGGACGAAAGCGUGGGGAGCAAAGAGGAUUAGAUACCCUGGUAGUC
RNAcentral lists this ribosomal RNA (441 nucleotides) under uncultured bacterium. RNAcentral's name for it is "partial 16S ribosomal RNA". It matches the Rfam family "Bacterial small subunit ribosomal RNA", at positions 339 to 795 of the family's 1533-position model. The record is from RNAcentral.